Mirounga angustirostris (Northern elephant seal) is the source of this 3510-nucleotide long non-coding RNA. RefSeq lists it as uncharacterized. The record is from RefSeq and is a predicted model, not a curated record. NCBI's taxonomy places the organism in Eukaryota, Metazoa, Chordata, Mammalia, Carnivora, Phocidae. The transcript is spliced from 3 exons.
AGUCAAAUGGCUAGUGUGUGGAAAACCUUUUGUAUAGCCUUCAUGUAGUUCAAGUCCUUCCAAACAGAAGUGGAAGGUGUUGAAGUAGGAAGAGAUGGAGAGUGUGUUCCACUGGGCUAUGGGCAUUGCACCAGGCAGUGAAAAAUGCCAUGAAGAAAACGGAGUUCUCAAGGUGCAGACUGGAAGACUGUGACUCUGAGGGUGCACUCCUUUACACAAGGUGGUCUCUCUGAGGAGAUGCCAGCAGAGAGAACACAAGCAGGAGGAAUGGGAGAGGGAGAAGCAGGCUCCCUGCUGAGCAGAGGGCUCAAUGCAUGGCUUGAUCCCAGGACCCUGGGAUCAUGACCUGAGCUGAAGGCAGACGCUUAACUGACUUAGCCACCCAGGUGCCCCUUAAUUUGCGUUUCUGUCACUAGUAUUGAUGUUGAGUAAUUUUUCACAUGCUUAUUGGUCAUUUGGAUAUCUUGUUUUGUGAAGUGUUGUUGCAAGCCUUUUGCUCAUAUUUUAAAAUCUGGUUACCCCUACUGCUUUGUAGGAGUUCAAACAUAUUCUAGUUUACAAGUCCUUUGUUGGGUAUAUCUGUUGCAAGUAUCCUCUCCCACUGACACUUGCCUUUCUCUCUUUUAAUGAUGUCAUAUGAAGUUCUUUAUUUUAACAGAAUCAAAUUUAUUGGCAUUCAGUUCUAAUCUUUUCCCUUAUUGUCCCAGCCUCACUGAUUUCUUUUCAGCCCCAUCCCUGUAUCGGGAGCUGCUUUAGUCCUUUUUGCCUUGCUGUUUCCAUCUGAUAAGAGAGAGGAAGGGUAGUUCUUCAUUUUGGAUCCCAUAAAUGCAGUUUAUUUAUAAAGGUGAAUAAUGUACAAUAUUUUAGUUCAGAUUCCCAUUUCCAUUUAGCUGUCAUCAAGAUCUGGGUGACAACUGUAAAAACACAGAGUGAAACUCAUCUCUUUGAACACCAUACUGAGCUGCCUACACCAGACCCACCCCAGUUGUAAUCUGCCCCUCUCUCUGCCCCCCACCCCCAGUGUCCAUUCAUCCCUGUUGCUAUUUGAUUUUGCUUUAACCAUUGUUGCUUCUCUUGGCAGAGACACCUGCCCUCCAGCACUGUUCCACAGUCCUUGAAGUUGGAAAGUACUUUCCCUUCUCAUGAUUCCAGCGAGCUGUGGGUGACCCAGACUUUCAGUGACCAUCACUCUUUUGAGAGGCUCCCUAGCAGGCAGCUUAUCUCAUUCUUCGAGGUUCCAAGUCUGCCUUGCCAAGCAACUUCAAAAGAGUUUCCCUUGACCAAACUAGGAGACCUCUAAGUUCACUACUCUGGGCCAUUCUAAAGAAAAUAUUUUAUUUUGUUUUGUUUUAUUGAGAGAGUGCACACACAAGGCGGUGGUGGGACCGAGGGAGAGGGAGAGAGAGAAUCUUAAGCUGGCUCCAUGCUCAGCGUGAGUCAAAAUCAAGAGUCAGACACUUAACCGACUAAGCCACCAGGCACCCUUAGGAAAAUAUUUUAGAAUAGAAAGAUGGUUGUGCUGGUUUGAAUACUUUCCUAAAAUGAUUUUCUUUUGAAUACCUCCGACUUAUCCCCAUUGGCACAUCAGAUGGCUUCCCAGGCUCAUGUCAUUAUUCUGUCUCCAACGUGACUGCAGGUAACAAUCAGCCCAGGCAGAAAAAAAUGUGUCAAAACCAGCAAACAAAACCAGGUUUUGACAUCCCCAUAUUCUCAUAUUCCCAAAGCUGUACCUCUUGGCCACAUGUUCCAGAAGGCACCAACAAUAUCUGUUCUAAUUGACUAUCUUUCUUCAGCACAGUCGUGAAGAAAUAGGGCUCGAGUCCUUUUCUUCCUCUUUUCUCUCUCAUUUGUAGACAUGGAAUUGUGACAAAGCAUUUUUGUUUGAAAGAUUAAUUUUCUACUACUCAAGUGGAAUGUUUGCCCAAUGCACCCCGGUGCCAGCAGCCUCCGGGAGCCCUGUGCUAAGGGCUCAUUUUUUUGCUCAUUCUCUGGACAAUCAAACCAGUGUGUCAGAUGUGACAAGAGCACCCGACACCAAGAGAAGGACAGUGAUUGCUUUGCUGGAGAAAAAAUAAAAUGGACUUGUGUUUCAUAGGUAGCUUGGCCUCCUGGAAUUUAUGAAACAACAACUUCUGGUUCAUUUCCCUGGAUAAUUGAUGUUUUCUUCCUUUGGCGUUUUAAAAAAAAAUACAGAAACCUAUGUUUGAAAGAUAAAAUCCUUUUUUUGUUUUCUUUUCCAGGGUGUGAAGAUGGGAUUUUCCCACCACACCUUUCUUCUUCCCAGGAGCUAAUGCCAUAGGUUAAGUCUAGGAAAUACCUCAUCCAAACAUUGCAGGCUAAGGAGCAACCAGAGCCCAGAGUCUGGUGGUUUUGUUGGCUGCUGGUGGCUCUGCCGCUCCCUUAGGAGAUGAUGUGUAGUGUGUGGGCAGAUUUGGACUUCACGGCUUUAAAAAAUCCCCUUAACACGGAGGUUCCUGAAACCCAGGAGAUUUUCCAUCUGUCUCCUUUGCAGGAUUCCUGUUGGGGAGAGGCACAUCACACAGGCAUUUUGGAUGCCCAGAAUCACGUUUUGAAAACUCUGUUUAAUACAACAUGGAUUUAACUCUCCCAGUGAAUUUGUGCUUCUUGUUCAUUUCUAAGGGAAAUAAAAUCCUCAGACUUCUGCUUCACUGGAACCAAAGUCUUAGAGAUGUUACUUUCUAAGUAUCGUAUUUUGUAAGAGAGCCGUUGUUCAAGAAGACUUCUAAAAGAAAGAAAAUUUUAGGAAAAAUAUCUUAACGAAUGGCAACUGGAGGUUCAGUCCACCGUCUGCGACCGUGAAUUUGGAGUGCACUCUGAAAUUAACUAUGGGGUACUGCCAGGUUAGUUUGAAGGAGAGAAAACAAACAAAAGGAAAAAAAUGUUCAGAUAGCCUCUUGGUUCUUUUCAGCCCUUUCAUGGGGUUCUGAUUCCUUUCUAGGUGUAAGCUAUCCAUGUACCCGUGCUCAAAGGCAGAUGGCUCCUGCAGUUUCAAGUGGAACCUCUCCUUUCAGAAUAUAGUCUCUUUAUAAUUCUUCCAUCUGAACGGUCAUUAUUGGCUUUAUGAGAUAGCAUAUUUGGAAGGACUUAGGCUGGAGAAUUCAUUUCUUCGCCACUUCCUGUAGAAUCCUAAAUUUCUAAACUCCUCAAACUCAAUCAGAUCUUUGCUUUUACCCACCUUUAUAAUUUGAAAAUACGUAGUUAAGUUUUUUUUCUCCAAUGACUUCCACAAUCUUCCCAAUUUUGGCCCGUCUCAGUUCAGUUAUAAGGCGUAUGCAACUGGCACAGCUCGUUUAACCAGACAAAUGAAGGGCUUUUCUUAGAAUUGAGCAGACACUCUGAUGCAAGUUCUAAAAUCUGAAGAUCCUGCCUACUCCAUCUGAAACCCAAAUGAUCAGCCAAGCAAAAGGAUCCUCUUUAGCCAACAAAGAAUCCAAAUACUUUUCAUCCAGUAUGUGGAAAGCACAGACUGAGGAGGCACUGUUUACAUGG